CCUACGGGGGGCAGCAGUGAGGAAUAUUGCUCAAUGGGCGCGAGCCUGAACCAGCCAAGUAGCGUGAAGGAUGACUGCCCUACGGGUUGUAAACUUCUUUUACAAAGGAAUAAAGUGAAGAACGUGUGCCUUUUUGUAUGUACUUUAUGAAUAAGGAUCGGCUAACUCCGUGCCAGCCGCCGCGGUAAUACGGGGGAUCCGAGGGUUAUCCGGAUUUAGUGGGUUUAAAGGGAGCGUAGAUGGGUUGUUAAGUCAGUUGUGAAAGUUUGCGGCUCAACCGUAAAAUUGGUAUUGAUACUGGCAGACUUGGGUACAGUUGGGGUAGGCGGAAGUCGGGGUGUGGCGGUGAAAUGCUUGGAUAUCACGAAGAACUCCGAUUGCGAGGGCAGCUUACGGAACUGCAACGGACAUUGAUGCUGGAAGGGGUGGGUAUCAACAGGAUUAGAUACCCGAGUAGUC
Molecule: ribosomal RNA, 459 nt
Filed under: uncultured bacterium
Lineage: Bacteria
Description: partial 16S ribosomal RNA
Rfam family: Bacterial small subunit ribosomal RNA
Source: RNAcentral